GAGCGGUAACAGGCGUAGCAAUACGUGCUGACGAGCGGCGAACGGGUGAGUAAUGCUUCGGAAUCUACCCAGUAGUGGGGAAUAACCAUCCGAAAGGGUGGCUAAUACCGCAUACGUCCUACGGGAGAAAGCGGGGGAUCGUAAGACCUCGCGUUAUUGGAUGAGCCGAAGCCGGAUUAGCUAGUUGGUAGGGUAACGGCCUACCAAGGCGACGAUCCGUAGCUGGUCUGAGAGGACGACCAGCCACACUGGGACUGAGACACGGCCCAGACUCCUACGGGAGGCAGCAGUGGGGAAUAUUGGACAAUGGGGGAAACCCUGAUCCAGCGACGCCGCGUGUGUGAAGAAGGCCUGCGGGUUGUAAAGCACUUUUAGUGGGGAUGAAAAGCCUUGGGAUAACACCCCAGGGUCUUGACCUAACCCACAGAAAAAGCACCGGCUAACUCUGUGCCAGCAGCCGCGGUAAUACAGAGGGUGCGAGCGUUAAUCGGAAUUACUGGGCGUAAAGCGUGCGUAGACGGUCAUGUAAGUCGGGUGUGAAAGCCCCGGGCUCAACCUGGGAAUUGCAUUCGAGACUGCACGGCUUGGGUGCGGAAGAAGGAAGCGGGAUUUCCGGUGUAGCGGUGAAAUGCGUAGAUAUCGGAAGGAACACCAGUGGCGAAAGCGGCUUCCUGGUCCGACACCGACGUUCAGGCACGAAAGCGUGGGGA
RNAcentral lists this ribosomal RNA (710 nucleotides) under uncultured forest soil bacterium. RNAcentral's name for it is "bacterial SSU rRNA". It matches the Rfam family "Bacterial small subunit ribosomal RNA", at positions 64 to 767 of the family's 1533-position model. The record is from RNAcentral.